Molecule: long non-coding RNA, 2286 nt
Organism: Felis catus (domestic cat)
Lineage: Eukaryota; Metazoa; Chordata; Mammalia; Carnivora; Felidae
Exons: 2
Source: RefSeq, a predicted model, not a curated record
GCGGGCAGCUGCGGAGCCAUCUGCUGCGCAGGCGGCGGCGCCCGCCCCAGUGUUUGUUUACAAACCAGACUGCGCGCGCGAGAGAAACAGCGCUCGGCUUCCAGGCGCGCCGUGGCCGCUGCCAGCCCGGGAGGAGGGGCGCCGGGGACCUGGGUGGGCGCCGCGUCCCAGGCCCGCGCGGGGGGCGCGGCCAGCACGUCUCCGGCCCGUCCGCCCGCCCACACCCCCACGCCUGCGCUCACCCCAAACCCGCCCGCGAAGGCUCGCCCUGCAGUUCGGCUCCCGCCCCAACCAGCGGCACCUACGACCCCAUCUGGAAGGCAGGCCGCGGGAACCCUCGUGUCUGUGUUAUUAAGGAUUACAGGGGGUAACGCACGCGGCGGCACUUACUACACAGAAGCUAUCGUCGUAUCGCCGUGGGUGAUUGGAUGAGCAUUUUACAAAAUGUCUCUCUAGUCCAGUUUCCCACCCAACUCAGGAAUCCCCUUUCAGACAGUCCCAGGUACAGACGAUGAGUCCUGGAUUAAAAUUCAUUAAGGGGAAAAAAAUCAUUUUGAAAAAAUCAUUCUGAUGCGAGUGCGUUUCAUGCAGCCGCAAGCCCCGGGGCAGGCUCAGAGCUUGGCGGGAGCGGGUACAGACAACGCUGAAUCACGUCGUGCCAACUCCACCCUUAAGCGCAGGUCUCCAGGGACCUGGCUGCCAUCCCAAAGAUACGGAAAAAGAGGCUCAAAGAGAAGAAACAACUGGACCAAGAUCUCUGAGCCAAGGUUUGGAGGCAGGACCAAAGCUGGAGUCCUGACUGCAAAUGGCCACCGAGGGGAGGGGUUGGAAAUGGCCCAACUCCCAGUUCCCGAUGGAAACAGUGGGGCUGUAUAGCCCCACGUUCAAACCGAGAAUGGCAAAGACUCUGCUGAGGCUAACGUGGACUAGGGCUAUACUUGGAGAGCCCUGUUUUUAAAAUUCUGAGCCAGUAAAAAUGUGAACAGACACUUGGACUAGGAGCCACCAUCUGACAAUUCCAUUUGGCAGAAGCACAGGGCCAUCGGGCCCACCCCCAAGUCUGCGUAGAUGCACAGAAGCCUCCCCCCAUUCUCCCCCGAUGCCAGCCCACAUAUUCAUUUGCUCAUUCAAUGCACAGUGAGAAACCGUGCCUGAAGAACUCCAAACCCCAAUCAGGGAGAUGGAAACACACAUCCCACACAAGGUUAGAGCUGGAAGGGCCCUGUCCAGGGUGCUAUAGGAGCACAGAGGAGGAAGAAGCAUUAAAAAUCGGGGGAGCAGGUGGCCCAAGGGCAGGUUGAGCCCAUUCAACUUUCUUGACCCAAAGGCGGAGGAGGGGGAGGGAGGCUGGGCAGAAGAGAGAAGACAGAGGAGAGUUGCUGGCUGGGAGAGCAAGGACUUCACUUGAGGCCCAUUAAAACAAGGCUGAGUCGGUGUGCAUGGGUCAGGCAAGGACACCGCCAGGAUUAGAUGCUGCUGCUCUUAGCUCCCCGGCCCGCAUCCCUUGGCCGUGCUCCCCCCUUCUGAGGAGCAGGCAGGAAUUGUAACGGGGUGAAACCAGGACAGCAGCAAGCUAACACACGCAGGGGAAAGCAAUCUGAAAACCCAGAAUUCCACGGGACAGACAGGCCAGGAUAACCAGCAUGCUGAGAGAAAACAGACCUGACAGUGGCCAGCAAGUCAGAUCCAAUCUGGAAGGGUGACAGGGCAGAAGAAGCUGCUUACACCUGGGCCAUCCUGCGUCCUCCAUAACUUGUGCCCAGGCUCGCCUGGCCAGGAUCUUCUCCCUGGAAAGGCACUCUGCCUGGUGUGUACGAGGUGCUUUCUCUGCGCUGAGGUAUGGGUUAUCUGGAGAAAUGCUCACUCAUGUACCCAGGAAAUCAGGGGAGUCCAGGCCAAAGAGUGGGGAGAAGCUUCAGGGUUUCUCAGGAGACCCAGGCGGUGAACAUGUGAUCUACAAGCCACAUGUUUGUGGGCAGAAUCACAUUUCCAGCUAGGCUGAUGCCUGGAUUUGUGUGUUCCUUCACUUAGCCCCACUCCCCCCACAACCCCCCAGUCAGAAACCCGUGUGCAGGCACCAAGACUCUGGCUUUCGGAGAUCAAGAGUCACGUCAUCCUCACUGCCUCUCCGCUCUGUAUCUGGUACAACAUAGGAUCCAGACAAAAUGGGGAUUGAAGACUAAUUAAAUGCACUAAAGGCAGAAAGCUUCUAUUUAAAGCAAUUUUGCUAAAUCCUUCAAAAGAGCAAAGAAUCCCACAGUAAUAAACACAAUUGCCCUCUCAUGA